GUUGAGGGGAAUGGUGUCUGGUUCGAGACCAUUCAUUCUAAAGAAAAGUUCAUCCAUCAUCCCAGAUCAUCCCAGAGAAUGAUCUCGGACCAGGCUUCAUUCCCCCUAGC
RNAcentral lists this microRNA precursor (110 nucleotides) under Vigna radiata var. radiata (mung bean). RNAcentral describes it as "pre miRNA mir-166". It matches the Rfam family "mir-166 microRNA precursor family". From Rfam's summary of the family: This family represents the plant microRNA (miRNA) precursor mir-166. Animal miRNAs are transcribed as ~70nt precursors and subsequently processed by the Dicer enzyme to give a ~22nt product. In plants the precursor sequences may be longer, and the carpel factory (caf) enzyme appears to be involved in processing. Lineage: Eukaryota; Viridiplantae; Streptophyta; Magnoliopsida; Fabales; Fabaceae. The record is from Rfam by way of RNAcentral.